UACGUAGGGGGGCAAGCGUUGUCCGGAAUCAUUGGGCGUAAAGCGCGUGUAGGCGGCUUGGUAAGUCCGCUCUGAAAGCCCGGGGCUCAACCCCGGGAGGCGGGUGGAUACUGUCAAGCUCGAGUCCGGAAGAGGCGAGUGGAAUUCCUGGUGUAGCGGUGAAAUGCGUAGAUAUCGGGAGGAACACCUGUGGCGAAAGCGGCGCACUGGACCAUAACUGACGCUGAUGCGCGAAAGCUAGGGGAGCAAACAGG
RNAcentral lists this ribosomal RNA (254 nucleotides) under uncultured bacterium. RNAcentral describes it as "partial 16S ribosomal RNA". It matches the Rfam family "Bacterial small subunit ribosomal RNA", at positions 524 to 776 of the family's 1533-position model. The record is from RNAcentral.